AGCUCAUCUGAGACCUAAGAUGGCGGCGUUCGUACUGAGGGAAAGGACUGCCGGCGUACCAGGUGUGGAAAGCAGCCAAGGAACAAAUCUGAGGGAAGUACAGAAGCUCGCCAAGUUUUGUUUUGUGAUGAGGACCUCUGGGCAUUGCAAUAUUAACAUUUGUUCUGGAAGCACAUUGUUCUGUUCAGAGGGGAUUUCCACAUCUGUUAUGAAAUAAGUACUUAAGAUAUACAAACAUAUAAAGAAUAACACAAUGAAAGAUGAAAAAAAAAAUACAGUGAACCUCUGAUUUAUCAUCCAAACGUAAAAGUAAUACAUUACUAUGAUAGUUGAAGUUCUCCGUGUACCCAUUCCUGGAUUCAUCUCUUUUCUUCCUUCAUCCCCAGAGCCUGAAGAAGUCCCUUUGGCAGUUCUUGUAGGGAGUCCUUUAGGCUUGACCUUCUCCAUGCUCUUGCAAAUGAAGUCAGUCCCUGUGGGAAGAAAUUAAGAGCCAUCUGUUUUAAUGUCUGCUGCUUCCCUCAAACAAAAGCUCUGAGCCGGGUCUCUGGAGGUGGGGUAGGA
Leptonychotes weddellii (Weddell seal) is the source of this 561-nucleotide non-coding RNA. NCBI's taxonomy places the organism in Eukaryota, Metazoa, Chordata, Mammalia, Carnivora, Phocidae. The record is from RefSeq and is a predicted model, not a curated record.